GUUUUGCGACAUCGUGUUAAUUAUGUGCUUCAGUAUAGCAACCUGUCCAUUUUUACUCCACUAAGCCUAUAUGUCUAUAACUAACUGACUGACACAUGUCCCGCUGCUGUUGCAGUCAACCACCUUGGACAUGGUGAAGCAGUGGGCCACAGAUGUGGGCGGUGGAGAUUGCAACAGCCAUGAUGACAGCAAAGGCCGCCUCAAAGCGCAGCAGUUCUGCGCCUGAUGUCGUCUUGACCUAAGCGGAUCUCCCCUUCAUGGAAACAAAGGCGAAGGGGAAGGGGGGCAAGAAACGACGGUGGUAAUGGAUGCACGUUUAUUUUGGGACGAAUGCACAUGUAAUGUGAUGAACAGCUGCAUUGUCUUCUUUUGUGGAGGUGCCUUUUCUUAGGGCUGAAAGCACGUUCGUAUCACAUGAUCAUGACCCGUGUCUUGAGACGGCUUGGCUUAUAAGCAAAUCCAUCUCAAGACACGGCUGAUCACGUGAUAAGAACACGCCUUCCUAGUUAAGAUUGGAGGUGCGUCCAUAUGACGUGAUGGACAGUUAUUAUGGAGACGGCUUCGUUUUGGGCUGAAAGGGGCCUUCAGAUCACGUGAUGUGCAUGGUUCAUUUUAUGGAGACUACUUGGUUUUGUAAUGAAGGGGCAUUCAGACCGUAGGGAUUGUUCAUUCUGAACUCCCUUCAUUCUGCAAUGAAGAGGUCUUCAUUCCAAAAUGACCUGGUGCCCUCGAUUUGGAUGUGAAAUGAAGGGUCGAAAUGAAGGGAUGAAAUGAAUGUGAAUCGAAUGUGAAUCGAGUAUAGAAUGAAGGCUCCAGGUUCCCAGAGUGAGAGACACUGAGGCACUAUAUUUCGCCCACUCAGGAUGAUUGGGACGAACACCUGCCACUCAUUGAGUUCGCUAUUAAUAACUCGAGGCAGAGCUCAACGGGUGCCACCCCGUUUAGCCUUAAUGGUAUCAAGCAGCCACAUGUGCUGGUUGACUUGCACCUGAAAACCAAAGUGCCUGCCGCUGACCUCUAUCCCAAGGUCAUGCACAAACGUAUUGGACCGCAAAACUUAAGGCUGUGCAAUCCCGCCAGUGCAAUGUCGUCGACAAGCACCGGCAUGUGGUGCGUUUUGAGGUUGGGGAAUCCGUGCUGCUCAGCACCCGCAACAUCCAGUUGAAAUCUCCUGGAGCAAAGAAAUUAUUGCCUAAGUUUAUUGGGCCAUAUAAGGUUGUCACUCGAGUGGGAGAGAAUGCGGUAAUAUUGUGAUUACCCGCGACUUCCCGACUCCAUCCAGUCUUCCACGUAUCCUUGCUCAAACCAUUCAAGGACGAUGGAACACGACAACCGCCGCCCCCGUUCAUAAUUGAUGAAGAGCCAUAUUACAUGGUCGAGGCACUACUUGACCACCGUGAUGUGAAAAUCCGAGGUGGAACCGGCAAAACACGUCGAGAAUAUCUGGUUAAAUGGGAAGGCUAUGACUCCAGUCAUAACACCUAUGAGCUGGAAGAUUCCCUGCAUCAGUCCGUUCCCCUGGCCAAAGCUAUUGACGACUAUGAACGACGGUUGGCAGCAAAGUCGGGGCAACCUACACCAAAAAGAAAAGUGGUCCUGACCACCUCUCCUUUGGUAGCACCCCAGAACACUACCCCAGAACAACCGAAACGGAAAGCACCUGCUCUCAAGAAAAGGUGACACUCCUGGAACGGUUCACUUCUGAGGGGGAGGGAUGUAGCAAGCUUAGGGUUGGCCGGAAGUUUAGAUUUAGAAAUUAAUUUAGAUGCCAUCUAAUUAGAUUUCUAUAUAGAUUUUAGAUGAGCCUAUCUAAACCGUUUAGAUGGCAUCUAAACGUAUCUAGUCCAUCUAAUGCCUAUCUAAAGGCCGGUGACCGGAUCCAGACCGUUUAAAUGUGAGUCAUGGCACGCGAAACAGCUAUGUCGAAUGUAACUUUAGUGUCAUAUCCUUGCUCCGCUCUAUUACAUACACAAAUAGAUGUAAAAAUACACAAUGGCAGAACCAGGACCCCCAAAGCCGAUCACAUACAAAUACAACUACCAGACUUUCGACGCGCCACAGUACACAGUGAAGCUCUGCGAAGCCAAGCGCAGCAUCAAAGCCGCAGCGUACUGGUCCAUCUUCGACGUGUUGCUCGUAAAAGGCGUUGUGAACCUCGUCUGCACCGUUUGCAACAAGUCCUAUAGCGCGAAGAACCCGUCAGCUGUCUGCCCGGAUCACUAUGCGAAGCACCAGAAGGACGUCGCCAGCGCGGUCGGAAGCGAGCAGUCCGGGGCGCCCACAACCAACAGCACGAAGCGCUCGCGCGCGGAGGAGGGGCCAGUUCGGACCUUCUUCCUCGCUGCAGUGCAAAUCGCCACCUUCCUGAAGCACCUGGCUCUUUUCUUCUUCAAGUGCAACAUCGCCCUCCAACUGAUCGAGCACCCCGACCUCGUGAAGGCGUGCAAGGCUGUUGGCAUCACCCUCCCCAGCCGCAAGAAGCUUGCCUCGACCGUGCUUGACGAGGCAUACAGUGAGGUGUCGAAAGACGUUGCGGCAGUUUGCGAGCGGUCGGGUCAGCUAGCCGUCCUCUCAACCGACGGCUGGAAGAGCCGCUUUGCCCUCAACGCCACCCCCCUCAUCAAUGUCUGCAAGCUGCUGCUAGACCGGGCGGUGUUCUGCAAAGUCGUUCCAGCUGCGGGCCAGGAGAAGACAGCGAGGUGGAUUGCGGACACGCACAUCCAGCUUGCUGAGAGGCCCGACGGUGUGUUCAAUGGCGAGGGCGACAGAACAGAGCCCGACAGCUUUGCAUCCCAAUGCGGGCGUGUCCCGCAUGUCGGCACGUGUACUUUGGUGGUUCCGUUUGCAGUUGGGCCGACGGUUGGGCCGCAGGGCGCCUAAUUACACCCCCUGGCGCCAUCCGACACGCGUCUGUAGAGCGCCCAUAGGGGUUCGCCGUGUUCCCAGUGUCGAGCGGCCCAAAAAAUAAUUGGAAAAUCCAGGAAAAGAUAAAGCCGCAUCGUGUGCAAAAUUUCAGGUCAAAAUUCCACCGUUUAGGCAGUUUUCCGUUUGCCCAUCUAAAGAUUUACCUAAUUAGAUUAGGUAUCUAAUUAGAUUUCUAAUUAGAUACUUUUUCCAUCUAAAGAUUUUGCCAACCCUAAGCAAGCUACAUUUACCUUAGAAAGCUAUUAAUGCUUAAUCACAGUAACGGUACGGUCCCGUAGUUAUGAACCAUACUCGUUAACUGUAUGAACUCACUUUCUGUUGCGCUAUCACAACCUAGUGUACGACACCAAGACUCCAGGAAUGGAGAUGGCAGCAGGUGGGCCGCAUUUAACCACCCAGGUGAAGUGCUUCGGCCAGACACUUCUGUAUCACUAUACUAGUGUUCAGGGUUCAAGACCUUGCUGACUUCCUGUGUCUUUUCUCAUGUCUAACGCUGAGCCGUCAAUCGUGGUCGAGACCCUCCUCUUCCACGGCCUUACAUCUCAAGUCUUCCGCUAAAAUGCCUAAGGUAAGAGAUGGCUGUUACAGGCAAUCCUACAGGUCGGGACCACCCUGGGCGCUUCAUGCUGGGGCCCCGCCCAAAAAGGGGGUGCUGAAAAACUGGCUGUAAAGGAGGUCCAGAUCCAUAUCAUGUGCCUGUUGGAGGAGCAUAAGGAGACCCAGUUCCAGACAGUUGUCACCAGGAUGGCAAAGGAGCUCAAGGAUGCACAGACCGUCAUUCGGAGCCAAGAAGCCAGCAUCAGCAUGCUCACGUGGGUUCUCUCUUGGCACAUGCAUGUUGCUGCAGCCAGAUGGGCGGUGUUACCCACACCAUGUGCAGGGUUCUUUAGAUUCCACCCAUGCACCACUGCUGGUUUGUGAUCCCAUGUAAGGAGCACUCAUUGGGUGGCGACACUGAUGCGGUUCACGAGGCGAUUCAGAGCUUCUACGAGGUGCAGAACGCCAAGGCCAGGGCACAGGGAAUGGAUGAUGCCUAUUUGGGCCCUGGAGCUCUCAUCCACAGCAUUCCCAGGCAGCUGUUGGAAUGAUGACCAGGAUAUUCAUCUUGCAGAUACCUUAGUCGAGCGAUGAGCUCGUCCUUUGACUUUAGCUCCUCUUCCUUUGGCUUGAGCGUUUGCAUCAUUAUGAUUUCGUGCGCCACCAACGCAUUGGGACCUCCGGCGAUGAUCCUUUUACGCAAUUCAUCCUCGUUAAGUUGUUUAUCCGUUGCGGGGCAAUGUAU
RNAcentral lists this long non-coding RNA (4207 nucleotides) under Volvox carteri. RNAcentral's name for it is "long non-coding RNA (VCAR_LNC003135)". Lineage: Eukaryota; Viridiplantae; Chlorophyta; Chlorophyceae; Chlamydomonadales; Volvocaceae. The record is from RNAcentral.